RNAcentral lists this ribosomal RNA (492 nucleotides) under uncultured bacterium. RNAcentral's name for it is "partial 16S ribosomal RNA". It matches the Rfam family "Bacterial small subunit ribosomal RNA", at positions 29 to 507 of the family's 1533-position model. The record is from RNAcentral.
AGUGAACGCUGGCGGUAGGCCUAACACAUGCAAGUCGAACGGCAGCACAGUAAGAGCUUGCUCUUACGGGUGGCGAGUGGCGGACGGGUGAGGAAUACAUCGGAAUCUACUUUUUCGUGGGGGAUAACGUAGGGAAACUUCCGCUAAUACCGCAUACGACCUACGGGUGAAAGCAGGGGAUCUUCGGACCUUGCGCGAUUGAAUGAGCCGAUGUCGGAUUAGCUAGUUGGCGGGGUAAAGGCCCACCAAGGCGACGAUCCGUAGCUGGUCUGAGAGGAUGAUCAGCCACACUGGAACUGAGACACGGUCCAGACUCCUACGGGAGGCAGCAGUGGGGAAUAUUGGGCAAUGGGCGCAAGCCUGAUCCAGCCAUACCGCGUGGGUGAAGAAGGCCUUCGGGUUGUAAAGCCCUUUUGUUGGGAAAGAAAAGCAGCAGGUUAAUACCCCGCUGUUCUGACGUUACCCAAAGAAUAAGCACCGGCUAACUUCGUG